GCCCUGCCGGUCCCUGCUUCCAGCUGAAGGACCUGCCCCUCCUGGGCGCUGCAGGGGCGUCUAGCAAAGACUCGCACAGCUUUCAGUCACACCCAGAGCGCUCAGACCCUGUUGGCCUCCCUACUCAUCGCGGGCGAAGCUAGAUCGAGGAUCAAAGUUGGGAGUGGAAUAUCAAAGUUUAAACUCAGGUCCUGCGUUGGGAAUGCGGCUGCCCCGCUGGCCAGCUCUGGAACUUGCAGAAGAUAGGCUGGCCCUUCUGAGCCUUUGUUUUUUGAAAAAUAGAGCCAGUAAUAACACUGAUAUUUUCUGUACUAGUUACUAUACUAUGGUAGUAUCAUCUUCGGACUGACUACUUCUGCACUGUAGUUAUGGUAUUGGUGUGUGUGUGUGUGUGUGUGUGUGUGUUGGGAAUUGAAUCCAGGACUUCUGCAUGCCAGGCAAGGGCUCUACUACUGAGCUACAUCCUCAGCCCUGAUGCUAUUUUCUGUCCCAAUAAUUUCUCCACUAAUAAGAGAUAUAACUAAAAGUCUGCACUACUAGUAAUUUA
This is a long non-coding RNA of Chinchilla lanigera (long-tailed chinchilla), 547 nucleotides long. RefSeq lists it as uncharacterized. Lineage: Eukaryota; Metazoa; Chordata; Mammalia; Rodentia; Chinchillidae. The record is from RefSeq and is a predicted model, not a curated record. The transcript is spliced from 2 exons.